GACGAACCGUGCGAACGUUGUUCGGAAUCACUGGGCUUAAAGGGCGCGUAGGCGGGCGGUCAAGUCGGUGGUGAAAUCCUUCAGCUUAACUGGAGAAUGGCCGCCGAUACUGACUGCCUCGAGGGAGGUAGGGGCAUGUGGAACUUCCGGUGGAGCGGUGAAAUGCGUUGAUAUCGGAAGGAACGCCGGUGGCGAAAGCGGCGUGCUGGCCCUCUUCUGACGCUGAGGCGCGAAAGCCAGGGGAGCGAACGGG
Molecule: ribosomal RNA, 253 nt
Filed under: uncultured bacterium
Lineage: Bacteria
Description: partial 16S ribosomal RNA
Rfam family: Bacterial small subunit ribosomal RNA
Source: RNAcentral